Ribosomal RNA from Vitis vinifera (wine grape), 119 nucleotides. The record is from Rfam. NCBI's taxonomy places the organism in Eukaryota, Viridiplantae, Streptophyta, Magnoliopsida, Vitales, Vitaceae.
UUGUGCGAUCAAACCAACACUAAUGCACCGAAUCCCAUCAGAACUCCGCAGCUAAGUGUGCUUGGGCGAGAGUAGUACUGGGAUGGGUGACCUCCUGGGAAGUCCUCGUGUUGCACCCC